UGAAGUUGUGACGCUAGUCAUGAUGGAGUCGUCCUUGAAAUACCACCCUUGUAGUUUUGAUGUUCUAACCUAGGUCCCUUAUCGGGAUUAGGGACAGUGCCUGGUGGGUAGUUUGACUGGGGCGGUCUCCUCCCAAAGAGUAACGGAGGAGCACGAAGGUUGGCUAAGUACGGUCGGACAUCGUACGGUUAGUGCAAUGGCAUAAGCCAGCUUAACUGCGAGACAUACACGUCGAGCAGGUACGAAAGUAGGUCAUAGUGAUCCGGUGGUUCUGAAUGGAAGGGCCAUCGCUCAACGGAUAAAAGGUACUCCGGGGAUAACAGGCUGAUACCGCCCAAGAGUUCAUAUCGACGGCGGUGUUUGGCACCUCGAUGUCGGCUCAUCACAUCCUGGGGCUGAAGUCGGUCCCAAGGGUAUGGCUGUUCGCCAUUUAAAGUGGUACGCGAGCUGGGUUCAGAACGUCGUGAGACAGUUCGGUCCCUAUCUGCCGUGGGCGUUGGAUGAUUGAAGGGAGCUGCUCCUAGUACGAGAGGACCGGAGUGGACGAACCGCUGGUGUUCGGGUUGUCAUGCCAAUGGCAUUGCCCGGUAGCUACGUUCGGAAUCGAUAACCGCUGAAAGCAUCUAAGCGGGAAGCGAGCCCUAAGAUGAGUCAUCCCUAGGAAUUUAAUUCCUCUAAAGAGCCGUUCGAGACUAGGACGUUGAUAGGCAUGGUGUGUAAGCGUUGUGAGGCGUUGAGCUAACAUGUACUAAUGACUCGAGAGGCUUAACCAU
Molecule: ribosomal RNA, 773 nt
Filed under: Shewanella oncorhynchi
Lineage: Bacteria; Pseudomonadati; Pseudomonadota; Gammaproteobacteria; Alteromonadales; Shewanellaceae
Also listed under: 1 other name
Description: partial 23S ribosomal RNA
Rfam family: Bacterial large subunit ribosomal RNA
Source: RNAcentral